Molecule: non-coding RNA, 135 nt
Organism: Triticum aestivum (bread wheat)
Lineage: Eukaryota; Viridiplantae; Streptophyta; Magnoliopsida; Poales; Poaceae
Source: Rfam
UCACUACUCCCUCCGUCCGGAAAUACUUGUCAUCAAAAUAAAUAAAACGGGAUGUAUCUAGAUGUAUUUUAGUUCUAGAUACAUCCCUUUUUGUCUGUUUUGAUGACAAGUAUUUUCGGACGGAGGGAGUACUUU